UACAGAGGUCUCAAGCGUUGUUCGGAAUCACUGGGCGUAAAGCGCACGUAGGCGGAUUUGUCAGUCAGGGGUGAAAUCCCGGGGCUCAACCUCGGAACUGCCUUUGAUACAGCAAGUCUUGAGUUCGAGAGAGGUGGGUGGAAUUCCUAGUGUAGAGGUGAAAUUCGUAGAUAUUAGGAAGAACACCGGUGGCGAAGGCGGCCCACUGGCUCGAUACUGACGCUGAGGUGCGAAAGCGUGGGGAGCAAACAGG
RNAcentral lists this ribosomal RNA (253 nucleotides) under uncultured bacterium. RNAcentral describes it as "partial 16S ribosomal RNA". It matches the Rfam family "Bacterial small subunit ribosomal RNA", at positions 524 to 776 of the family's 1533-position model. The record is from RNAcentral.